This 402-nucleotide unclassified non-coding RNA is filed under the name soil metagenome. RNAcentral describes it as "partial contains 5.8S ribosomal RNA, internal transcribed spacer 2, and large subunit ribosomal RNA". The stretch from base 1 to 121 matches the Rfam family "5.8S ribosomal RNA", at positions 35 to 154 of the family's 154-position model. The record is from RNAcentral.
GAUGAAGAACGUAGCGAAAUGCGAUAAGUAAUGUGAAUUGCAGAAUUCAGUGAAUCAUCGAAUCUUUGAACGCACCUUGCACCCUUUGGCUAUUCCGAAGGGUAUGCCUGUUUGAGUAUCAUGAACACCUCAACUCUCAUGGUUUGCCAUGAUGAGCUUGGACUUUGGGGGUCUUGCUGGCCUGUGGUCAGCUCCUCUCAAAUGGAUUAGCUUGCCAGUGUUUGGUGGCAUCACAGGUGUGAUAACUAUCUGCGCUUGUGGUUUUCCACCAGGUAACCUUCAGCAAUGGGGGUUCGCUGGGGCUCAUAAAUGUCUCUCCUCAGUGAGGACAGCUCUUUGAACGUUUGAUCUCAAAUCAGGUAGGACUACCCGCUGAACUUAAGCAUAUCAAUAAGCGGAGGA